GAUGAACGCUAGCGAUAGGCUUAACACAUGCAAGUCGAGGGGCAGCAUGGUCUUAGCUUGCUAAGACUGAUGGCGACCGGCGCACGGGUGCGUAACGCGUAUUCAACUUGCCUCACAGAGGGGUAUAACCCGUCGAAAGACAGACUAAUACCGCGUACCCUUUGCAUAGGGCGUCCUGGCCCAAGGCAGUGAAAUUCGCUGUGCGAUAGGCAUGCGUCCCAUUAGCUAGUUGGUGAGCUUACGGCUCACCUAGGCGACGAUGGGUAGGGGAACUGCGAGGUUGAGCCCUCAGACGGGGACUGAGACACGGACCAGAGUGCUACGGGAGGCAGCAGUGAGGAAGAUUGGUCAAUGGGCGAGAGCCUGAAGCAGCCAAGUCGCGUGAAGGAUGACUGUGUUAUGGAUGGUAACCUUCUUUUAGACGGGAAUAACAAGAGUCACGUGUGGCUCACUGCAGGUACCGGAUGAAUAAGCAGCGGCUAACUACGUG
Molecule: ribosomal RNA, 490 nt
Filed under: uncultured bacterium
Lineage: Bacteria
Description: partial 16S ribosomal RNA
Rfam family: Bacterial small subunit ribosomal RNA
Source: RNAcentral